This 1396-nucleotide ribosomal RNA is filed under the name Limosilactobacillus reuteri. RNAcentral describes it as "bacterial SSU rRNA". It matches the Rfam family "Bacterial small subunit ribosomal RNA", at positions 63 to 1433 of the family's 1533-position model. Lineage: Bacteria; Bacillati; Bacillota; Bacilli; Lactobacillales; Lactobacillaceae. The record is from RNAcentral.
CUGAUUGAUGGUGCUUGCACCUGAUUGACGAUGGAUCACCAGUGAGUGGCGGACGGGUGAGUAACACGUAGGUAACCUGCCCCGGAGCGGGGGAUAACAUUUGGAAACAGAUGCUAAUACCGCAUAACAACAAAAGCCACAUGGCUUUUGUUUGAAAGAUGGCUUUGGCUAUCACUCUGGGAUGGACCUGCGGUGCAUUAGCUAGUUGGUAAGGUAACGGCUUACCAAGGCGAUGAUGCAUAGCCGAGUUGAGAGACUGAUCGGCCACAAUGGAACUGAGACACGGUCCAUACUCCUACGGGAGGCAGCAGUAGGGAAUCUUCCACAAUGGGCGCAAGCCUGAUGGAGCAACACCGCGUGAGUGAAGAAGGGUUUCGGCUCGUAAAGCUCUGUUGUUGGAGAAGAACGUGCGUGAGAGUAACUGUUCACGCAGUGACGGUAUCCAACCAGAAAGUCACGGCUAACUACGUGCCAGCAGCCGCGGUAAUACGUAGGUGGCAAGCGUUAUCCGGAUUUAUUGGGCGUAAAGCGAGCGCAGGCGGUUGCUUAGGUCUGAUGUGAAAGCCUUCGGCUUAACCGAAGAAGUGCAUCGGAAACCGGGCAACUUGAGUGCAGAAGAGGACAGUGGAACUCCAUGUGUAGCGGUGGAAUGCGUAGAUAUAUGGAAGAACACCAGUGGCGAAGGCGGCUGUCUGGUCUGCAACUGACGCUGAGGCUCGAAAGCAUGGGUAGCGAACAGGAUUAGAUACCCUGGUAGUCCAUGCCGUAAACGAUGAGUGCUAGGUGUUGGAGGGUUUCCGCCCUUCAGUGCCGGAGCUAACGCAUUAAGCACUCCGCCUGGGGAGUACGACCGCAAGGUUGAAACUCAAAGGAAUUGACGGGGGCCCGCACAAGCGGUGGAGCAUGUGGUUUAAUUCGAAGCUACGCGAAGAACCUUACCAGGUCUUGACAUCUUGCGCUAACCUUAGAGAUAAGGCGUUCCCUUCGGGGACGCAAUGACAGGUGGUGCAUGGUCGUCGUCAGCUCGUGUCGUGAGAUGUUGGGUUAAGUCCCGCAACGAGCGCAACCCUUGUUACUAGUUGCCAGCAUUAAGUUGGGCACUCUAGUGAGACUGCCGGUGACAAACCGGAGGAAGGUGGGGACGACGUCAGAUCAUCAUGCCCCUUAUGACCUGGGCUACACACGUGCUACAAUGGACGGUACAACGAGUCGCAAGCUCGCGAGAGUAAGCUAAUCUCUUAAAGCCGUUCUCAGUUCGGACUGUAGGCUGCAACUCGCCUACACGAAGUCGGAAUCGCUAGUAAUCGCGGAUCAGCAUGCCGCGGUGAAUACGUUCCCGGGCCUUGUACACACCGCCCGUCACACCAUGGGAGUUUGUAACGCCCAAAGUCGGUGG